Molecule: long non-coding RNA, 351 nt
Organism: Athene cunicularia (burrowing owl)
Lineage: Eukaryota; Metazoa; Chordata; Aves; Strigiformes; Strigidae
Exons: 3
Source: RefSeq, a predicted model, not a curated record
GCCUUCCUCAAAAUGUACCAUAUUUUUUUCAUGUAAGAUGGCCGGAAAGAGAGGAAGGAUUCCUACUGGCAUUCCUCUUGCUGAAAGUCAGAACAUAAAGAUUUGGAUGACAUCCAGUAACUGAACUAAAACCAGUCCUAUGUCAAGACAGUGUAACAACCAGGGGAUUGUAGAUGCCAAGCACAGUUUCAGACACACUUGUGUUCUCCAGCAGAAGACAGUGACAUGACAGGAAUGGUAGCACAAGGCUCUUACUGUUAAAUUCAAUAAUUGAUUCUCCUGGAUGGAUUGUGACUCUCCAGAGGUUGCAAAGAAAGAAAGAGUUGAAUUAUGCUGCCACUUAACAAGAAG